CACUGCUCCAAGGUAGAAGCUGAACUCGCCCUCCCCUCCGGCUUCAGUUUCCCACUGAGUUCCCUGGGCCCCCCUCCUCUCAUUACCCAGUAAAGGCCGCUGGGGCAAAGAGGCCCUUUUCAAAGGGGUAUCAGACCACACCUCACUGUCGUCAAAUGAACAAGCAAUCUCUUUCUUGCCUUUCUCCUCUCCUGCAGAACAAAGUUGCAUUUAAAAGGAAAAACAGUCUCAGGUUUUGUGUCCGGAACAGAGAGAAGGUCCCAGGGGCACAGACUCGGGAACACAGAGUGGCCGAUUCCCCAGGAUGGCUCUCACCAACAGUGACGAGGUGUGGAGGGACGAGGCAGACAAAGCUCAAGGCCAAGCCUGACAGCAGACACAGGGUGGCCUGUCGUUCUGGGUCCCAUGGCCUGGAGAGUCACGGGCAGCUAUCGAAUUCUGCUCAACCACAUCGUGUAGCCUAUCUUUCUCUAGAUUUUCCGCAGUACGGAAUUCUCUGCCAAUGCUCCAGAAAUAACGAUGACCACCAAACAUAGCCCAGACCGCGCUUCCUUUCCUGGUAUUGCACGUCUGUCUCCAGGCUCAGCUCAGGACAUGGACACAAGUGGGCUACCUCAGAACACGGCAUUGAUGCUCAAUUCCGUGAGGACAGCUGGCUACUGUGGCUGGAAGUGACCCAGGGGAGGACUUCUUAGGACCUUCCAGAGCACACAGCUUACAACAGGGCCAGCUUUUAGAUGGGAUUCAACUGGCCUGCAGAGAUGGCCUGGUCUUGGGGAGUGACAGUAUCCUCCUUCUCAGAGGAUGGCUUGUGGGCAAUCAAUCUCUACCCCUAACACCAAGCAGAGGCACUGUCCCACAAGAGACAUUAAAACAAGUGAUGGGUGGA
Long non-coding RNA from Neofelis nebulosa (Clouded leopard), 889 nucleotides. RefSeq lists it as uncharacterized. The record is from RefSeq and is a predicted model, not a curated record. The transcript has 2 exons. Lineage: Eukaryota; Metazoa; Chordata; Mammalia; Carnivora; Felidae.